GGCCAUAGUCCUUGGAUCACUCUGACUUGACAUGUCAUUUCAAAGCUUGAGAGAGCUGAUGGCAGGAACAGAUCCUUCAUACCACGCUGCCACAUGUCCCAUGAGUCUCCAAGGGUCUUGUGGGCUCUACUUCUGAGUGUCCCAGCAAGACUACGAUCAAAAGAUCAUCCACUAUUUUCUCUCAUAGUCCUUCUUUCAAGCAGAACUCAUCACUGGAGGUUCUGUUGACAUAAGACAGAGAGAAGCCUUUUGUUCUCCUUUCAAGUGACAUGACAGGGGAUGAGCCAGCAGCUUGGAAACCGCCCCGGGCCACCUGGAGAAAGACGCUUGCGUGAAUGACGGACAUUCGAAGAGAUGAGUCUUCUAUGACUCAAGGAUCGCAAAAUUGAGGCAGAGUGGCCAUGACUGCCUUGUGAUUCACACAGUGUUGCCGUUGGCUGGAGGGGUGGUGUGUCCUCUGACUUUGCUCUAGCAAGCGUGGAGCCUAAGUAUCUUUACGCAAGUUCUGUGGAUCAAGGAGCUUGAGGGGAUUAGGUUUGAAGAGCUGAGGAUAACUGGUGUUUCAGACUGAUCGGGAGUUUUACCCUACAAGGAACAGUGGUGGCCUGGUAUUGGACAAUUAUUGGUUUCCUUUGCCAGAUUAUGCUGUGGUUUGUCAAACUUGAUGCCACAAUGCCCUGGAGGCAGUUUCAGUGUGAUUAAAGGUGGAGCUC
Mus musculus (house mouse) is the source of this 713-nucleotide long non-coding RNA. RefSeq annotates it as RIKEN cDNA 4930431P22 gene. NCBI's taxonomy places the organism in Eukaryota, Metazoa, Chordata, Mammalia, Rodentia, Muridae. The record is from RefSeq and is marked validated. The transcript has 2 exons.